UACGGAGGGGGUUAGCGUUGUUCGGAAUGACUGGGCGUAAAGCGCGCGUAGGCGGAUCGUCAAGUCGGGGGUGAAAUCCCGGGGCUCAACCCCGGAAUGGCCUUCGAGACUGUCGGUCUUGAGUUCGAGAGAGGUGAGUGGAAUUCCGAGUGUAGAGGUGAAAUUCGUAGAUAUUCGGAGGAACACCAGUGGCGAAGGCGGCUCACUGGCUCGACACUGACGCUGAGGUGCGAAAGCGUGGGGAGCAAACAGG
This 253-nucleotide ribosomal RNA is filed under the name uncultured bacterium. RNAcentral describes it as "partial 16S ribosomal RNA". It matches the Rfam family "Bacterial small subunit ribosomal RNA", at positions 524 to 776 of the family's 1533-position model. The record is from RNAcentral.